This 495-nucleotide ribosomal RNA is filed under the name uncultured bacterium. RNAcentral's name for it is "partial 16S ribosomal RNA". It matches the Rfam family "Bacterial small subunit ribosomal RNA", at positions 28 to 507 of the family's 1533-position model. The record is from RNAcentral.
GACGAACGCUGGCGGCGUGCCUAAUACAUGCAAGUAGAACGCUGAAGGAGGAGCUUGCUCUUCUGGAUGAGUUGCGAACGGGUGAGUAACGCGUAGGUAACCUGCCUGGUAGCGGGGGAUAACUAUUGGAAACGAUAGCUAAUACCGCAUAACAGUAGAUGUUGCAUGACAUUUACUUAAAAGGUGCAAUUGCAUCACUACCAGAUGGACCUGCGUUGUAUUAGCUAGUUGGUGGGGUAACGGCUCACCAAGGCGACGAUACAUAGCCGACCUGAGAGGGGGAUCGGCCACACUGGGAAUGGGACACGGCCCAGACUCCUACGGGAGGCAGCAGUAGGGAAUCUUCGGCAAUGGACGGAAGUCUGAACGAGCAACGCCGCGUGAGUGAAGAAGGUUUUCGGAUCGUAAAGCUCUGUUGUAAGAGAAGAACGAGUGUGAGAGUGGAAAGUUCACACUGUGACGGUAUCUUACCAGAAAGGGACGGCUAACUACGUG